AUUGAAGCAAAGAAGAAAAGCAUCAAUCUAACAGCUGACAGACGACAGCCGACGACACCUUCUGUCCUUAAAUCCUCGUUAGCUCCGUCGCUCAUAAUCUAACCGUACAGCUGCAGCUCAGUGGGAGAAUCACAAACUGAAAUCUCACCAACAGAAAGCAGCAGAAACAGAACCAGUUCCACUCAGACCAAUAAAGCAGAAAAUGAGAAAUUACACUACUGAAAUGAAACCUGCAACAUGACAUCAGCGUUAACUGAUGCAUCU
Molecule: long non-coding RNA, 264 nt
Organism: Sebastes umbrosus (honeycomb rockfish)
Lineage: Eukaryota; Metazoa; Chordata; Actinopteri; Perciformes; Sebastidae
Exons: 2
Source: RefSeq, a predicted model, not a curated record